RNAcentral lists this ribosomal RNA (301 nucleotides) under uncultured bacterium. RNAcentral describes it as "partial 16S ribosomal RNA". It matches the Rfam family "Bacterial small subunit ribosomal RNA", at positions 509 to 807 of the family's 1533-position model. The record is from RNAcentral.
CAGCAGCCGCGGGAAUACGUAGGGUGCAAGCGUUAAUCGGAAUUACUGGGCGUAAAGCGUGCGCAGGCGGUUUGUUAAGACAGAUGUGAAAUCCCCGGGCUCAACCUGGGAACUGCAUUUGUGACUGGCAAGCUAGAGUCUGGCAGAGGGGGGUGGAAUUCCGCGUGUAGCAGUGAAAUGCGUAGAUAUGCGGAGGAACACCGAUGGCGAAGGCGGCCCCCUGGGCCAACACUGACGCUCAUGCACGAAAGCGUGGGGAGCAAACAGGAUUAGAUACCCCAGUAGUCCCUGUCUCUUAUAC